RNAcentral lists this ribosomal RNA (494 nucleotides) under Phalium glaucum. RNAcentral describes it as "partial 16S ribosomal RNA". It matches the Rfam family "Bacterial large subunit ribosomal RNA", at positions 1845 to 2598 of the family's 2925-position model. Lineage: Eukaryota; Metazoa; Mollusca; Gastropoda; Littorinimorpha; Cassidae. The record is from RNAcentral.
AUAAGGAGUCGGACCUGCCCAGUGAAUUAAUUUUCAACGGCCGCGGUACUCUGACCGUGCAAAGGUAGCAUAAUCAUUUGCCCUAUAAUUGAGGGCUAGUAUGAAUGGUUUGACAAGAGUAUAACUGUCUCUUUGUGAAUAUCUAAAAUUUUAUCUUUAGGUGAAGAAGCCUAAAUAUAAUUAAAAGACAAGAAGACCCUAUCGAGCUUUAGACAAGUUAGUAAAUCAAAUAUAAUAUUAGAAAAUAAAAUAGUAUUUACUAAAAACUUUAGUUGGGGCGACAAAGGAACAGAAAAAGCUUCCUUUUAUAAAUAUAACUUGCUAGUAUUGAUCCAAAAAUUUUGAUUAAUGAAAUUAGUUACCGUAGGGAUAACAGCAUUAUCUUUUUUAAGAGCUCAUAUCGAAAAAAAGGUUUGUGACCUCGAUGUUGGACCAGAAUAUCCUAAAGAUGUAGAAGUCUUUAAGGGUUGGUCUGUUCGACCAUUAAAAUUCUA